GACGAACGCUGGCGGCGUGCUUAACACAUGCAAGUCGAACGGAAAGGCCCUGCUUUUGUGGGGUGCUCGAUUGGCGAACGGGUGAGUAACACGUGAGUAACCUGUCCUUGUCUUUGGGAUAACUUCAGGAAACUGGGGCUAAUAUCGGAGAGGAGCUCCUGAAGCACGGUGGGGGUUGGAAAGAUUCGGCGGUUGGGGCUGGACUGGCGGCUUAUGAGCUUGAUGGUGGGGUAGGUGUUUACCAAGGCUUUGAAGGGUAGGCGGCCUGAGGGGGGGAACGGGGACAUUGGUACUGAGGGACGGCGCAGACUCCUAUGGUAGGCAGCGGUGGGGAAUAUUGCAGAGUGGGCGGACGCGUGAUGCGGCAGCGCCGGGUGCGGGAUGACGGGCUUCGGGUUGUAAACCGCUUUCGCCUGUGACGAAGCGUGAGUGACGGUAAUGGGUAAAGAAGCACCGGCUAACUACGUG
Molecule: ribosomal RNA, 468 nt
Filed under: uncultured bacterium
Lineage: Bacteria
Description: partial 16S ribosomal RNA
Rfam family: Bacterial small subunit ribosomal RNA
Source: RNAcentral